CCUACGGGGGGCAGCAGUGAGGAAUAUUGGUCAAUGGGCGCGAGCCUGAACCAGCCAAGUAGCGUGAAGGAUGACUGCCCUACGGGUUGUAAACUUCUUUUAUAAAGGAAUAAAGUGAGGCCCGUGUGCCUUUUUGUAUGUACUUUAGGAAUAAGGAUCGGCUAACUCCGUGCCAUCAGCAGCGGUAAUACGGAGGAUCCGAGCGUUAUCCGGAUUUAUUGGGUUUAAAGGGAGCGUAGAUGGGUGCUUAAGUCAGUUGUGAAAGUUUGCGGCUCAACCGUAAAAUUGCAAUUGAUACUGGCAGCCUUGAGUACAGUUGAGGUAGGCGGAAUUCGUGGUGUAGCGGUGAAAUGCUUAGAUAUCACGAAGAACUCCGAUUGCGAAGGCAGCUUACUAAACUGCCACUGACAUUGAUGCUCGAAAGUGUGGGUAUCAAACAGGAUUAGAUACCCUUGUAGUC
Molecule: ribosomal RNA, 460 nt
Filed under: uncultured bacterium
Lineage: Bacteria
Description: partial 16S ribosomal RNA
Rfam family: Bacterial small subunit ribosomal RNA
Source: RNAcentral